AUUAGUAUGAUAAACAUAUUACUGAAGUUUCCUUUUUACUAAUCUGCUUAUUUGAUAAAAGCACGAAAUAGUCUCUCAUUCUAGAUAUCUGCCUAAAUAUCUUGGGUAUCUACCUUUAAAUAUCUUAAGAUAUCUAUACUUGUAACGAUUUUUCCUUUGUUGCUGGUAAUUUGAGCUUCGUUAUCGGCAAUGAGGUGUUUGGCGAAACGUCAUUAAGCCGUUGUCUUAACAUCUUGAAGUAUAGUAGCGUAGAGCUAAAUAGCGCUAAUGCAGAAUUUUUCCUUUAAUCGUAAUUGUAGUAUAACUGAUUAAUCGAUUUUGAUUAUACUGUAUUAUAAAAUAUAUUUUGAUAUUAAGUUAUUUUAUUAAAAAAAAUUAAUUCUACGAAUUAUUUUUUAAGUAGGAACAAAAAAGUAUGAUAUAUUAGGCUGGUUCCAAACGAGUCGAAAAAAUUUGCGACGACACGAAUGAUUGCUAACUUUUUGUGAGAGAUUUUAUACUCUACCGCUUAUCGACGACAUGUUUGCAAAAACCGGUCGACGAAACUUGUGACGUACUUAAUGAGAUCCAAUCAGUAUCGACUACUUCGUUUCGAAUUUCAACGUCACUAUUACUUCGAUUUUCUCGCGUACACUUGGUCUGAACUGCUCGUAUCUUUCCCCCGAAAUAUCCAACUUGCUGAAUACGGCUUCUGUUUGCGGACAUGCCCCAUAAAACAACUUGGAGCGAUUUCCAAGGGACGCACGAUAGCGACACAACUGCGACCAAAUUUUGUCUAACGAUCGUUUCCAAUGGCGUGAAUGCGCGGCGAAAUCUACUCGUUUGGGGCCAGUCUUAAAUUGAUUAAUCAUAUUAAAAUGUUCAUAUAUAUCUCCUGAUUAAUAAAUUUGUUUUAAUUAUAUUUAACAUUACGAACAAUUCAAUUUAUCAUAUGUUAACAUCCAUAAUCGGGGAUUUUCAGAGAAAAUGCGUGGCCUGGGCAACUAAUAUUUUUGAACCCUUCAAAAAAAAAAGAAAAGAAAAAAAAAAGACAAAAUUGUCAAAUAUAUAGUGAUAAGUGCAC
This 1063-nucleotide long non-coding RNA is filed under the name Androctonus crassicauda. The record is from RNAcentral. Lineage: Eukaryota; Metazoa; Arthropoda; Arachnida; Scorpiones; Buthidae.